CUGGUGGGCAGGUGAGGAGAUCUACUCAUCUUGCAGGCAUCCAAGACAAACCUUGCAUGUAAGUUCCCUUGCCUGUUAAACCUGCCACCUACCUAUCUGGAGUGGUCUGCCUCUUUUAUGGUCUCUCCUUGCCUUUUGUGUAUGGGGGCCAUUUCUAAUUUCACUGAGGGAAUUCCUGAGGUUGUGAACCAACAGCCAUUUGGAAAGAAGUCACAAAAGUGAGGAUUGUAAUGACUACCUAUUAGAAGCAGGAGUUUUUCCAGGAGGGAGAUUUUUGACUUAGACCACCCCAUGGGAGCCAGCAACAAUCAGCUGUAACUCUGUCCCCUGGAUGCAACCUCACAGCUGGUGGAGGUGCACUGACAAUGCGCUCCCCCCAGUAAGCAGGAAACCAGAGACAGCAUCCUCCCUAGACCAAAGUCAAGCUCUCAGCACCAAAAAAAAAAACAUCUAAACAAGACAGAAGAAGAACUUCAUCCAGUUUUGUUGGUGACUCACAACAAAGUUUGUCUGAAUAGCUACUGGUCUGGUAAGAACCACAAACUCAUCCAGGCUGACUCAGAAAACAGGGUACUAGGAUCUAUGUCUGUUUUACUUUUUGAUUCUCUUUUUAUGACAAGAUAAAUACAACAGCACAACACAAUUGGAGGCACAAAAGAAAACAUAAAGGAUGAAAAUUAAUGACCUGAUUCUACAAAGGAUGCCAGACAAAUGGGAACCAAUAUGUAACCUGGGUACCAAACUGAGCAUAAGUAGCUGAGACACUCAAUAUAGAGUGGAGUUUAGACCUGGUACUGACUUCCCAUGUCAUCAUGAACUCAAAAUCCACAAGUGGCAAGUGACAAGGGGCCUCUCUGGUUCUGCACCUCGUUAACAUGUGGUAUCAGAAGCAAGGGCAGGACAGACUAUGUCUUGGUGGAGUCUCCAGGAAAACUGUGGGAAUAAAUAAAGACCACCUAAUGACAACAGAAGCUGUUUACACAAUACUUGUGAUAGCAAGAGAGUCACCCACCUUCAUUUGUGUUGGGCAGAGAUUCAAAGGUCUCUGGAGAGCAGGAAGAUUUCUAGUGAAAAAACAUGGGAAGCUUCCAGGUGUAUCAAUGCAUUAAUUCAUCCUCAGAGCUGUUUUUCUGCCAUGGUGAAGUAGAAAGAUCCCUAAACUGAAGGCAGUUGUCUGGUGAGCUAUAGCUCUGACAUUUAAGAGUAUGAUGUCAUUAGGAGUACAUUUUUGGCCCAUUGAGGAAGUUCUGGGUCAAGAGCCUAUCAUGUGGGCAAUGGAACAUUUUUCUUCAUCUCCAAUUUUAUUUGAAGGUUUGAUUCCUAGAAUGUUUACCAACAAGCUUCCUGUGCCCACAUCUCCAUCUCACAAUCCAUUUCCCAGGGAAUCUGACAGGAACAAUGACCAAAACAUUUUGCAUAGAGGGACCAUAUUACUCUACUUUUCUCAUUUCCCCUCUUCAGAAUCAAAUGUGUCUUAAGUUAAUUUCCCUAAUGGAAGAACAACAAGAAACAUUUCGUGAUAGAGACUUUGAAGUUACAUCACAUCAAGGUCUGCCUUUAGAAAACAUGGAUUGUUAAGAGAUUUUGUAGCA
Molecule: long non-coding RNA, 1592 nt
Organism: Manis javanica (Malayan pangolin)
Lineage: Eukaryota; Metazoa; Chordata; Mammalia; Pholidota; Manidae
Source: RefSeq, a predicted model, not a curated record